UGCCCACCCUGCCCCAGCAAAGGGACCAGCAGAUCUGAAGAGGCCCUGCAGCCAGGACCGGGAAGACUCCCCAGGAGCCAGCAGGAAGGCUCCCCAGGAGCCAGGUGGGGCCCGGCCCAGGCGGCGCCCGCCAUGAACGGGCUGUCGUUGAGUGAGCUCUGCUGCCUCUUCUGCUGCCCGCCCUGCCCCGGCCGCAUCGCUGCCAAGCUCGCCUUCCUGCCGCCGGAGGCCACCUACACCCUGGUGCCUGAGCCCAAGCCGGGGCCUGGUGGGGCCGGGACCGCCCCCUUGGGGACCCUGCGGGCCUCCUCGGGCGCACCGCACCCGGGCGCAGGAAGCUGCACCUGACGGAGCAUACCGACUUCCAGUACAGCCAGCGCGAGCUGGACACCAUCGAGGUCUUCCCCACCAAGAGCGCCAGCGGCAACCGCGUCUCCUGCAUGUAUGUUCGCUGCGUGCCUGGUGCCAGCUUCUACAUUGGCCUGGGCUCCCGCCUCCACUGCAACAUCUUCUCCUACGACUACUCCGGCUACGAUGCCAGCUCGGGCAGGCCUUCCGAGAGGAACCUCUAUGCCGACAUCGACGCCGCCUGGCAGGCCCUGCGCACCAGGUGAGGGCGACCCUGGGGGCAGCUCAGCCUGGGUACGGCAUCAGCCCGGACAGCAUCAUCCUGUACCGGCAGAGCAUCGGCACGGUGCCCACCGUGGACCUGGCCUCGCGCUACGAGUGUGCCGCGGUGGUGCUGCACUCGCCGCUCACCUCGGGCAUGCGCGUCGCCUUCCCUGACACCAAGACGACCUACUGCUUCGACGCCUUCCCUAACAUCGAGAAGGUGUCCUAGAUCACGUCGCCCGUGCUCAUCAUCCACGGCACGGAGGACGAGGUGAUCGACUUCUCGCACGGGCUGGCGCUCUACGAGCGCUGCCCCAAGGCGGUGGAGCCGCUGUGGGUGGAGGGCGCCGGGCACAACGACAUCGAGCUCUACAGCCAGUACCUGGAGCGCCUGCGUCGCUUCAUCUCCCAGGAGCUGCCCAGCCAGCGCGC
Molecule: long non-coding RNA, 1044 nt
Filed under: Homo sapiens (human)
Lineage: Eukaryota; Metazoa; Chordata; Mammalia; Primates; Hominidae
Description: non-protein coding lnc-CDRT15L2-7:1
Source: RNAcentral